AUGAGCAAGGUCUCGUCCUCUGACAGCCUGAAUGGGAGGCACAGCCAGAGUUCCCACAGCUCCGACAGCUCUGGCAAAGAGCCAGAGGGGCCCACAGGGCCAGGGCCUGGGCAGAGCCCCAGAGAGCCAGCCUCCCCCAGCGGAAGGGGGCCCGGCCCAGCUGUAGCAGCCAGGCGCAGGUCAGACUCUUGCCAAGAGCCCCAAGCAGGGUCCUGGCAGGACAGGAGGUCCCGUACUUCUUUGUCUGAGAAAGAGGUCUACUCUGAGGCACCGGUCAUCAAUGGAUGCAUUGUCAGUGGGGAGGAGCCUGAGAAGCAGGAGCCUGAGAAAUGGGCACCGCAACCCAACGGAAUCAGCCAUCUUAACCCUAUCCUGAGUGUGGAGUUGGACACGCAUGCCACACACUCUCCCAGCCUCUCCGCAGGGCCCAACCCACUCAACAGGAACGGGAACACGGAUGCAGAGUGUUGAAGGUCGGCUCCAGAGGUCCCUGGGCAACCAGGAAGGCAGGCAGGCCGAGGAAAGCUGCACAAUUUGCACAGAAUCUCAGUUAUCUGCAGUUAGAGACACUUAAUUAUAAAAGCUUUAGGUUAUUUUAUUUUAUGCACAAACUCUCUCGGUCUGAUGUGGCUUUGUGUCAUCAUCUAAUGCACUGUUUUAGAAUACAACCUUUUUAUUUGACCAGUCUCUCUCUUCCUCUAACAGGAGCUGAAUGAUACUUCUAAUAUAUGGCACAAACAUAUUUAAUUCUAGUUCUGCUUCUUCCUUGCUCUUCCUGAACCUAAAGAAGACAAUACCCUACCGUAAGACUUUCAGUAAAGUCACUGCUUACUUUUUUGCAGCAGAAGCACCACCUAAACAUCGAUAAAGAACAAUGUUUAAGAUCUGGAUCAUCAUAAGCAAAUAGGAUACAGAUAUUGCACAUUAUUAAAGGCACUUUUGCUAUUUCAAAACUGGAGCUCUGUUUCGGUUUGUGAACUAUCUAUCUUUAAUGUGUAAUCAAUGCAAAUACAGCGUAGGGAUGCAAAUGAAAGCCAUGCACGUGUUUCAAUCAAAAUAGCCUACCAUCCUUGAGGAUUAGGUGCUUGUGUACUCAGUCUACCUCGUAUUAGACACACUUGCCUCUUGACUAUCCUAAAUUGUAUUUAAAGGGAAAAACAUGAUAUAGUAGCAUCUUCAUGCAAUGGGACAACAUUUGUAAAUGUCUUCCACCUACAUUCCCAAGCUGUAUAAGGUGCUUUGUUCAUAUUUGCUGGGAUACUCCCAUUGUUUCUUUACUGCUGUAACCUGAUUUCAUCCUAUGUGUAUUCCCCACCUGUAUUAUGUUAGUAGGUAACGCUUUCAGAUAUCUAGUACAACCUAAAACAACUGGAUUAAACAGUAUGCAAACUUAACUGAUACAGCAACUUAAGAAAUAAAUACAUUUGAAGGCUCAUAGGACAUUCAUUCUCACACCCAUCAUGACAUUGUAAAUGUUUCUUCAAAACAUAGAAACAACAUUGAGAGCAUUGACUCUAUUGUAAGUAAUUUAUAUGAAGCCUUCUUUCAUCAUGAAAGGAAAUCUUGUUUUCCAGAUGCAAUGAUUUACUAAGUCUUAAACCUAUCACCAUUUUCUCAAUUCCAUCUUUAUCAGGCAAGCAGCUGAUGGAAAAGGAAAUAACUGGACUGAGUUUGUGUGAAUCUUGAUUUUGUGUGUGUUUGGGAUUUUAAAAGUGUUGUUUGUUUUUUUUACAUUUACAUUGAUGUCCAUUCACCACUUGUCUGAAAUAAAAUUACUAUUCAA
Molecule: long non-coding RNA, 1783 nt
Filed under: Salmo trutta (river trout)
Lineage: Eukaryota; Metazoa; Chordata; Actinopteri; Salmoniformes; Salmonidae
Description: lncRNA (ENSSTUG00000000905.1)
Source: RNAcentral